CAACUUUCAGCAACGGAUCUCUUGGCUCUCGCAUCGAUGAAGAACGCAGCGAAAUGCGAUAAGUAAUGUGAAUUGCAGAAUUCAGUGAAUCAUCGAAUCUUUGAACCGCACCUUGCGCUCCUUGGUAUUCCGAGGAGCAUGCCUGUUUGAGUGUCAUUA
RNAcentral lists this ribosomal RNA (159 nucleotides) under uncultured ectomycorrhiza (Basidiomycota). RNAcentral's name for it is "5.8S ribosomal RNA". It matches the Rfam family "5.8S ribosomal RNA". From Rfam's summary of the family: 5.8S ribosomal RNA (5.8S rRNA) is a component of the large subunit of the eukaryotic ribosome. The record is from RNAcentral. Lineage: Eukaryota; Fungi; Basidiomycota.